GUCUUUUUGUAUUUUUAUAAAAAGUCUAAUCUGCCCCCUGAUAAUUAUUAAAUGGCCGCAGUAUAUUAACUGUGCAAAGGUAGCAUAAUCAUUAGUUUUUUAAUUGAAGACUUGUAUGAACGAUUGGACGAAACAUAUACUGUUUCAUAAAAAUUUAUAGAAUUUUAUUUUUUAGUUAAAAAGCUAAAAUUUGAUUGAAAGACGAGAAGACCCUAUAGAUCUUUACAUUUGUUUUAUUAUUAAUAUUCAGGAUUUUGUAAUUUAAUAAUAUAUUUAAUGUUUUGUUGGGGUGACAUUGAAAUUUAAUAAACUUUUAAUAUUGUAUUACAUUUAUUUAUGGUUUUAAAUGAUCCUUUAUUAUAGAUUAAAAAUUUAAGUUACCUUAGGGAUAACAGCGUAAUUAUUUUGGAGAGUUCUUAUCGAUAAAAUAGUUUGCGACCUCGAUGUUGGAUUAAGAUUAAUUCUGGGUGUAGUUGUUCAGUUGAAUUAAGUCUGUUCGACUUUUAAUAUCUU
Molecule: ribosomal RNA, 513 nt
Filed under: Thrypticus smaragdinus
Lineage: Eukaryota; Metazoa; Arthropoda; Insecta; Diptera; Dolichopodidae
Description: partial 16S ribosomal RNA
Rfam family: Bacterial large subunit ribosomal RNA
Source: RNAcentral